This 297-nucleotide long non-coding RNA is filed under the name Hordeum vulgare. Its description in RNAcentral is "long non-coding RNA (HVUL_LNC019708)". Lineage: Eukaryota; Viridiplantae; Streptophyta; Magnoliopsida; Poales; Poaceae. The record is from RNAcentral.
UUUUUAUUGUCUCUAGGGCAUAUUUCCAACAAGAACAAAGGUUUGUAGCUUUUCUGCUUUGGCGGUUGCAGCAAAAAUAAAAGGAAGAAAACACGCUACAUGCCCCACAGUCACUUUGCAGGAAGAAACUCGGUUCCACCAAACCAUGACAAUGGUUCUAGCAAAUCACGGCGCUGGUUGCAACAUUUCGUUCGAUCUUGUGAUGACGCUUCUGUCUCCGAAUCCAACAAAUCACGACACUGAUUCCAAGAAAUUGCGUCGCCAUUUGCAACAUUGUUGCAGCACACCACCGCGCUC